This is a long non-coding RNA of Phacochoerus africanus (Common warthog), 374 nucleotides long. RefSeq lists it as uncharacterized. The transcript is spliced from 3 exons. Lineage: Eukaryota; Metazoa; Chordata; Mammalia; Artiodactyla; Suidae. The record is from RefSeq and is a predicted model, not a curated record.
AGAGCUAGAUUCAGGGAGCUAUAAAAGCUCCCCAGCAGAUUCUAAUGAACAGCCAGCAUUGAACACCACCGCUCUGGAGGCUUAAGCAGCAGCAGGAGUUGGGUGGCCAGUUCGCUGAAUCUUGGGCUAGAUGGAAGAAGUGGGGUGACCCCAGGAAGGUCCCUCGAAGAAUGGAGGUCCCAAGGCAGCCAUCACCCUGAAAACUGGAGAGACAAGAAAAUACAAAGAAUCACAACUUACAAAGGAAGACACGUCCCUGGCUGGAGCCACUACCCGUGGAACCACUUGAAUUGACGCUGGCGAGCCAUUUGCAAGAUAGUUACACCAUUUUACCUUCCCACCAGCAGAGUUUGAGCAUUCCAGUUCUUCAUCCA